RNAcentral lists this ribosomal RNA (497 nucleotides) under uncultured bacterium. RNAcentral describes it as "partial 16S ribosomal RNA". It matches the Rfam family "Bacterial small subunit ribosomal RNA", at positions 28 to 507 of the family's 1533-position model. The record is from RNAcentral.
GAUGAACGCUGGCGGCGUGCCUAAUACAUGCAAGUCGAGCGAACAGACGAGGAGCUUGCUCCUCUGACGUUAGCGGCGGACGGGUGAGUAACACGUGGAUAACCUACCUAUAAGACUGGGAUAACUUCGGGAAACCGGAUCUAAUACCGGAUAAUAUAUUGAACCGCAUGGUUCAAUAGUGAAAGACGGUUUUGCUGUCCCUUAUAGAUGGAUCCGCGCCGCAUUAGCUAGUUGGUAAGGUAACGGCUUACCAAGGCAACGAUGCGUAGCCGACCUGAGAGGGUGAUCGGCCACACUGGAACUGAGACACGGUCCAGACUCCUACGGGAGGCAGCAGUAGGGAAUCUUCCGCAAUGGGCGAAAGCUUGACGGAGCAACGCCGCGUGAGUGAUGAAGGUCUUCGGAUCGUAAAACUCUGUUAUUAGGGAAGAACAAAUGUGGAAGUAACUAUGCACGUCUUGACGGUACCUAAUCAGAAAGCCACGGCUAACUACGUG